This 442-nucleotide ribosomal RNA is filed under the name uncultured bacterium. RNAcentral describes it as "partial 16S ribosomal RNA". It matches the Rfam family "Bacterial small subunit ribosomal RNA", at positions 338 to 795 of the family's 1533-position model. The record is from RNAcentral.
CCUACGGGAGGCAGCAGUGGGGAAUAUUGGGCAAUGGGCGCAAGCCUGACCCAGCAACGCCGCGUGAAGGAAGAAGGCUUUCGGGUUGUAAACUUCUGUUGACAGGGAAGAGGAGAAGACGGUACCUGUCGAAUAAGCCACGGCUAACGCCGUGACAGCAGACGCGGUAAGACGGAGGUGGCAAGCGUUGUCCGGAUUUACUGGGUGGAAAGGGCGGGUAGCCGGGUUGACAAGUCAGAUGUGCAAUCCUGCGGCUUAACCGCAGAACUGCAUUUGAAACUGUUGAUCUUGAGUACUGGAGAGGCAGCCGGAAUUCCUAGUGUAGCGGUGAAAUGCGUAGAUAUUAGGAGGAACACCAGUGGCGAAGGCGGUCUGCUGGACAGCAACUGACGGUGAGGCGCGAAAGCGUGGGGAGCAAACAGGAUUAGAUACCCCUGUAGUC